Molecule: small RNA, 171 nt
Filed under: Mytilus galloprovincialis (Mediterranean mussel)
Lineage: Eukaryota; Metazoa; Mollusca; Bivalvia; Mytilida; Mytilidae
Source: RNAcentral
GUCAAUUGACCCCUUAAGGAGAUAUUGCCCUUCAUAGUCAAUUUUUAAUCUUUUUUUUAAUCAUUAAUCAAUUACGUAAAUUUCGGUAAAUGUUUUGCAUAAUUUACGUAUUUAUGAAAAUGAUUAAAACUUGACUAUGAAGGGCAAUAUCUCCUUAAGGGGUCAAUUGAC